RNAcentral lists this long non-coding RNA (1390 nucleotides) under Pogona vitticeps (central bearded dragon). RNAcentral's name for it is "lncRNA (ENSPVIG00000010510.1)". The record is from RNAcentral. Lineage: Eukaryota; Metazoa; Chordata; Lepidosauria; Squamata; Agamidae.
AUCAUUGUAAUGAUGUUGUGGUUGGAUUGUAACUGUUUUUGACUAUUGGAAUGCACUCUGGUAUUGAGCGCAAUAUAAAUGAUGAUGAUGAUGACACACUGUGUCUCCCUGACAGGAUGAUUAUUGCUCCGCAGCUCCCCAGUACAAAGGCCCCUCUUCUCACACACCGCCGCCCGAAGAAAGGUGGCAGGAUCGUUUCCCCUGUUCAGAGACCUCGCUUGGCCUCGAUCACAUGACGGGAGGCGGAACUCCAGAGGUACAAAGCGAGGGGGGAAAGGAGUGCAUCAUUAAAAAGGAUCCUCCGGAAACAGCACCCUCGCUGACUGAGAGUUUUAAGUCUCCCGGGAACCAGAGAGGCGGAGAAGCUCUCACAUCCUGUAGAAGAAACAUCCCCAGAUUACCCCCUUGUGUGUUUCUGCCUGGGGGAAAUGGAACUGUUGGCCACAGCACCCGGGGCCUCUCAGGUAUGGGGUGGAGUUGGGCAGGGAGGCUUCUGGGUAGAGACAGAAAUGGAGCGGAGGGCACUGGUUUGUUCUGCUCCACACCGGUUGUUCAACCAGGUAUUUGCUAGGUGGAAGGUAAUCAGUUUCAGAGCUUGGCAAAAUUACUUUUUUGGGGGGGCAGGGCUCCCAGCAUCUCCAGCAAGCAGAACCAGUGCGUCUUAAGGUAAAGGUUCCCCUUGACAAUUUUUGUCCAGUUGUGUUCAACUCUAGGGGGCGGUGCUCAUCCCCAUUUCCAAGCCAUAGAGCCAGCGUUUUUGUCCGAAGACAAUCUUCCGUGGUCACAUGGCCAGUGCGACUUAGACACGGAACGCUGUUACCUUCCCACCGAGGUGGUCCCUAUUUAUCUACUUGCAUUUGCAUGCUUUCGAACAGCUAGGUUGGCAGGAGCUGGGACAAGUGACGGGCGCUCACUCCGUCGCAUGGAUUCGAUCUUACAGCUGCUUGGUCUUCCGACCCUGCAGCACAGGCUUCUGCGGUUUAGCCCGCAGCGUCACCACGUCCCUCUUAUCUGUGUGUCUUAUCUGUGUCCAAAUGCAGGAGAUUAAUAUGAAGACUCAGGAAUUUGGUCCAUAGUGUACUUUCUGCACCAGGCGUCCCCAAUUUAACUGUGUAAGCUUCAUAGACUCAUUUACUUCAUCUAGUCUGUUUUAUGUAUGUAAUGUGAUAGCCGUGUGUGUGUGCAUCUUAAAUUUGGGUCUCCACUUUGCAUUACAUAUUUAUCUGGUUAUAAAUAUGGUACUGCCCCCCCAACCAUUUUGUAUAUACAAUAGAGGACACACCCAUCAGUGAAUUUACUGAUUUAAGAAAGUCAGGCACUAACCUUAAGACAGUGCUGCUCCUCAAGGUUUAUUAAAUAAAAAAUGGACCAAAAAAAUUAAGUAUUUACA